AGCUCCAAUAGCGUAUAUUAAAGUUGCUGCAGUUAAAAAGCUCGUAGUUGGAUUUGUGGCGCGGUCGUCCGGCGGGGCUUCCGGUUUCAUAGUAUCCCGGGGCCGUUUGUCUGGGUUCUUGGCCGCCCCAUUCUUCGGUUGCGUGUCGCUGGCAUUAGGUUGUCGGCUUCUUCGCGCCGAUCGUUUACUGUGAAAAAAUUAGAGUGUUCAAAGCGAGCGAUUGCCAUGAAUACAUUAGCAUGGAAUAAUAGAAUAGGACCUGAUCCUGUUUUGUUGGUUUGUCGGUAUUAGGUAAUGAUUAAGAGGGACGGUCGGGGGCAUUUGUAUUCCAGGGUUAGAGGUGAAAUUCUUGGAUCCUUGGAAGACAAACAGCUGCGAAAGCGUCUGCCAAGGACGUUUU
RNAcentral lists this ribosomal RNA (400 nucleotides) under phytoplankton environmental sample. RNAcentral's name for it is "partial small subunit ribosomal RNA". It matches the Rfam family "Eukaryotic small subunit ribosomal RNA", at positions 587 to 970 of the family's 1831-position model. The record is from RNAcentral.